GGAUGGAGCAGCUCACAGUGGUACCUGGGAUGGCCCCGUGGCUUCUGCCAAGCCAAAUUCUCCUGUUUCAUAAGAAUUGCUCACCGCAUUUGUUUGUAGAAGUCAACAUUAAUUAAUCUUCUCAACUGAAAUGAAAAUACUUUAUGGGAAUACACUGAGAACCCCCCGCCCCCGCCUGCCAGCACAUCAGAUGGAUUGAAGCAUUUGAAGGCAGAAUAUAGUUCACAGAAAAAGCAAACCUAAUUAUAACCUAAAGAUCAUACAUCAGGCGUUUAUCAAGUGCCUGCUCUUAGGCAGGGUCCUGAGCUGGGCCUGAGGCUCUGAAGGGAUCCAGGCAGGGCAGCCAUGUUCUGUUCUCCAUGAGCCCCUCUAGGAAGGGAGGAUGGUUAGAUUCAUCAUUAUGGGAGUGUCUUGGACAGAAGGCUUCAACUUAGAAAAGAUCUCCUGGAGGAAAUGACAGAGCGUGAGAGGUGAGUGGAGUUUGCUGGGCAGGAGGGGGAAGGCAGAAGGCUCACAGGGCAGGAGGGCAGAGGGCGGAGCAGGGCUGGAGUGGGGCUGGGGGAGACAGAGUGACUGAAGUGACAGGACUGGAGGGCCUGCAGGGGCAGUGAGGAGCUCUCCAGACUGAGGAGGGAGAGUGAGCGUCUCUGUGGCCGAGGUGGACAGUGGGGAGGCAAGCAGGGACAGGAAGGCCAACGCUGCCUUCCAGGAAGGAGACCCAGUGGGGAAGCCUGGCCUGUAGUGAGGGCUGGGGGCCUGCAGAGAAGGGCAGUGCCUGGGGGCAUAUCAGGUGGAGAACCAGUGCCAAACUCACACCCCUGGGGACGGUUGCCUCUGAACCCGCUGCCCACCUCACCCCCGACUUUCAGAUCCUUCUGCACACACUUCCUCUGCCAGGGACAGGACAGGAGCGCAGGCAGCUGCAUAAAAAGGAGGCCCUGCAGACCACGCCAUGUGCUUAUUCUGUGCAAACCCCACCGUCCCACCUUCCCCACAGCUGACUCCCAUGAGCGUGAGCACACGGAAGCUCUGUAUUGGCAAAAAACACUCAGCUGAGCAAUGAGACAGGGUGAUUUAUUUACAAGCAUUUGAGUAUUUCAGUUCCCCCCAUCACCACUCAGAAACAAAAGUGAAAAUUGAGGCCAAUUGCAUGGGAAGGAGCACAGCAUGCCUGAGAGGGCCGGGUCAGAGCUGUCCCAUGGGGACUGCAGGGGCCGCCUCUCUGAGCCCCAUCAGUCUGUGUGGAGAGGGACCCCUCAAUGAGGAGAUGAGUGGACUCAAGAGCAGACAAUGGACUGGGACUAAGUUCCUAUGGGCCCUGGGGGAGGUAGUGACAAGUUAUGGGAAGGUGAGGGGUGGAAGUGCACUGUGAACAAAGGUUGUCUAAUUAUGCAGAUUAAGUCUCUCAGGUAACAGCCCUUUAGUUGAAAGAAUAGGUGAAGUCUGUCCUGGGCAUGGAGACUUUGAGUUUUCUCUCCUAUGUUAAGAGUUAAUUUUCUGUGAUUAAUAUAAAUCCUAGGGAGGGGAGUCUAAGACAAAUGCAUUCCUUCCAGAGGAACUUCCCUAGGUCAGAUGAGGGACCUUCAGAGAGAGCCCACCCCCAUGCUUCAGAAGGGAAAGAGGGCAAGGAAGCAAGGUGGAGAGAGGCCUUGGUUCUGAGCUUAUUUCUGAGGCCUUUCAAUCUCCAUUGUUCAAAGCAGUCAGCAUGCCAGAGCACCAUAUCUUGGGGUGUUGUUUUCUGAGCGCAUGUUUUCAGGACAGGUUUUAUCCCUGGUCUCAAACCCAUCUCUCCACAGAGAGAAUAUAUUGAGCCCCAGUCCUUUUGGCUCAGCAUCUAGCCAGACCUGCCACAACACGGCUCUGUAGUUACUGAGUUUCUCACUGUGUUCUUGGGCUCUCAGCUUUAACUGGUGUGCUGAGAACUGAGUUCUCUUCCUUGAAGCUCCCAUCUCCAAGUCUAGUCCUCGAUCUUUGCUGUGGAAACCUUUGUGAAACACUUGUGCUGCCCCUGCCUGGACAGACCCCUGGACCCGGGGGUCAUGUCAGGCAUCACGCAGCAGUGUGGCUGCCUGUCUGCUGUGCUAAGAACCCUGAGCCUUCAGCCAGCAUGGUGGGUGGGAGCCCUGGGGUUGGUCACAUCUAUCCUGAGUGGGGCUGAGGCAUGUGGGUGCUGUGCCUCUCUUCCAGGCUUCUGGCCCCUAGUCGGCAAGCUAGGAUGUGUUUGCCGGAUGCUUACCAAACGCCAGAUACUGUGCGUGUUGUAUCAUUUAAUCUUCCCCAUCUCUGUGAGGGUAGACGUUAUCUCCACUUUGCAGAUCAGAAAAGUGGGACUCAGAGAAAUGAGACCCUUUCCCAAGCAGCUCAGACAGGAAGGUGUUGUGGGCAGGUCUUCCCAGGUCUUACCCAGCAGUACUCACUAGCGCUCCGUCUGUUCUGAGCCCCUCCUUCCUGGUCCUAUGAAGGUCUCUCUCCUCUCAGUAGCAGGCCCCACAUUCAGCUCACUUGCUCUGUCUCCUGCCAUCUGCUUCACAGCUCAAGACCCCUGGGCCCCCUGCUUAGCUUAACCCUGGUCUGUCCCUUUCUGACUUGGCCCGUGAGAUGUCUAUGUU
Molecule: long non-coding RNA, 2609 nt
Filed under: Homo sapiens (human)
Lineage: Eukaryota; Metazoa; Chordata; Mammalia; Primates; Hominidae
Description: HSALNT0393154
Source: RNAcentral